UGGUGACCCCACCACACCACACCUUCCGCAAGUUAUAAUGAUGAUUUACACAUAAUAAUCUUCCACAACCAGGGAUGGAUCUGAAUAAGCUUACUACAAUUACCCAAAAUAGGUAUUCUUCUUUUAUUUCAGGAGAGGUGUGACAAUGAUUAACGUAGAAAAUGAUGCGAGGGUAAGGGGUAUUAAGGGAUCAGGAAAAGAGACGCAUGGGACGUAAGAAGCCUCCAAAACCACCGCGGCCUCCUAGGGGUGGCCGAUCAUUAAGUGAAGCUGAUAUAAAAUUGGUUAGAGAAAUUUCGGAACUUUCAAGGUGAAGGCAUACAAGGAAUGAUAGAAGAAAGAAAUUAGAGAAAAAGAGAGUUGAUAAGGCAUCUUCAUCACAUGCUAGUGUUUUUGCAAUGAUCAUCACCAUUCUCUUCAUCUGUUUCGUAAUCUUUCAAGGUAACCACCCAAGGCUCAUUUGUAUGUUUUAAUCUAUUUUUCUUUGCUUAAGCUAUCCUAUAUAUAUGACCUUCAAUUCAAUGUGUGGAUUAGAUCAAAAACAAAUCAGAUAAUCAUCCCUUGGAUAAAUACAUAUUCUUUGUCCAUUCAGCCCCUCUAAUUACUUGUCUUGGUAAUCUAGCUUUUUCUUUUGUUUAUUACAAUUGAUUAGAUAGACAUAUUAAUUAAUUAUUUGAAUAAGGUAAUUAACAUGCAUAUCCAAUUUUUUGAAAUUUAGAUGUAGUUACCCUACCAAUCUUGAGUUGAAUGUGUAAUAUUAUAUCUAUCACAGAUAUGCUGAAAAGGUUGAAGAAUAUAACUACUACUUUUGUGUUAAAUUGUAGCAGGUAAAGUUCAUGAUGGCAUCAUAUCAAUCUUGUUUCUUUCCUAGACUUAUUAGGCAUCUUGGGUUCUAAUGUAUGAUUGUAAUUGGAUUAGAGUUCUUCAGAUUUGCUUAAUGUAGACUAAGGUUUCUAUAUUUCUUCACCAACAUCACCAUUCAAACAUUGGUUCCAAAAACAUUCCAAGAGUUUCAGAUUUCAGAAAACUUAAUGGAUGAUUUAAGUUCAAUUCUUAAAACUAUUUUGCACAUAAAAAUAAACGAAGGUGUGGGAUACUAGCUUCCCAAGUAUGAGGCCUUGUUUGAAGAACUUUGACAAAAUUGGUUUGUUCCACAUGAGUUUUACAACAUUCUACUUAUGAUGAUUUUGUUUUUCCUCUGCAAGUAUGUAAUGAAACAACUGCUAUUGAGUUCUGAAUAUGUUUGAUUUUUUCAAAUUUAUCAAAUGUGGUGCACUACAAAUAGACAUGGUUUCUUCAAUCUAAUUAUAUAUGUUAAAUGUUGAAGCAUAUUGACCAGGGAUUCAAAUUGCGGUUGCAGCCAUGUUUUCAGUCGCAUUGCGUUUAUCGUGGUUGCGGAUAUAACAUAUACUAUUGCGGCCACUGUGGGUAUUGCGGUAGUGAAUUUUUUUUAAAAUUCGCACAACUUAUUGUAAAACAUAAUAAUUAUAAUUAUAAUUAUAAAAAGUCAGUUUUAAUGAUUUUUAGAGUGUUUUCUAACAAUUAUGAACUUUUAUUAAUAUGAGAACACAAUUUUUAUAACCAUUAAUUAUUCUUAUAUUUAUUUGUGAAUUUUCUAAGAAUAUUAUAUUAACUAAUAACAAAGUAAAAAAUAGGAAAUAUUAAAAUUUCAUCAUAUUUAAUAAGUUUGAAAGUUUUUAUAGAUAAAAUAAUUGAAAAUUCAUACAUGAGAGAGGUCUUCAAUAUUUCUUGACAGUUUUGAAGAUGGUGAAUAUAUGAAAACAUUCUAUGCUGCAAAAGGAAAAAAGGAAUAGAUAACUGUAUAGAUUCUCAUUAAUUAUUCCUAUUUCCUACCACUUAUUCUCACUCUCAUUCUACUUUCAUAUAUAGUUUAACAUGCUUCGAUUCUUAAUUAUCUUUUCAUAAAAUAUACUCUAUUCAUUUAUCUAAAGAUAUAUUUUAAAUAUUUUAAUAUAAUUAAAAUAAAAAACAUUAUUAAAAGUUUUCUUUAAAAAAAACAUACCUUACGAAUAGUGAUAAUGGUACGAUUUAGUUUUCACCAAUUAGUAGAAUGAUGAGGAGGAUCAGAUCCUUCACCUUCACUUUCAGAGCGUUCUUGACUUGAUUCUCUUAGCCUUUGUCCAAAAAUGUAUCCAAAAAAAGUAACAUUUCACUUUGCUUUUCAUAUAAUUGAUAUGGAGGAUAUAUUUGAUGAGGAUACAUGAGAGGUGGAGGUGGGUGAUACAUUGGUGGUAGAGGAUGCAUGUGAGGCUGGUAUGGCACACCAUAAUUAGAAAAUGGUGGAUAAUAACCAUAUGGUUGUGGAUAACUAUGUGAAGGCUGAAAAUAUGAAGGUUGUUCUGGUGGAUAAAAACCUUGAGUGCUAGUAGAUGAAUUACUAUACCCAAGGUUAUAAGAACCCGAUCUCCUACUAGAUGAAGAGCCUAUAGAAGUAUGCUUCUUGCUUUUUCCUUUUGAUGGAGCUCUAGGUUCACUUCUAUCUCUCCUAGGUUCAGGAAACAUAUUUCCAUCAAAUUCUAAUCUAUCACGGAAAUGUCCACUAGUGGUACCAACCCCAUAUUCUCCUCCAUACCAACUAGAAGACCUAAUUUCACCUCUAUCACUACUAUGUCCAUCAUCGUCAUCAAUUGGACUUAAACCACCAUCAUCGAGUCCAUCACCACUCUGACUUGGUGAUGCACUAGAACUUGAAUGAGACAAAUUUUGUUGUUGAGAUUGAUCAACAUUCAUUUCAUCAUCAGAGGUAUCCAGAGGCAACACACUAACAUUUUCACCAUCUAACAAUGGAUUCUCUUUCUCAUGAAGCCAUUUUGAUAGUGGAUCAACAUAUUCAAAUAUAUGAUCAAGGUUGAUAGAAUUAAAACUAGCAUUUAUAUCAUCAAUGCUUAUUAUUUUUUGAUGCCUUAUUUGAAGCCUCAUAUUAUAAUAGGUAAAUACUAGUUUCUCAAAUUUUUUAUACUUCAACCUAUUUCUUGCCUUGGUGUAAAUAUAACUAAAUGUGCUCCAAUUUCGUUCGCAAUUUGAUGCAGAAGUUGUUUGACUAAGCACUUUAAUUGCCUAUUUUUAUAACUUAGGAACAUGUGCCGUAUAUUAUCCACCACUCAGCAGCAUAAUAUUAUUUAAAUUUCAAAAUAACUUUAAAAUAUACAAUAUAAUUGAAUAGUAUAAAUUAAAUUAAAUAAUUUAAUUAAAUAUUUACCCAGAUUCAUUUGCUUCCAAGCUCUUUGUGCUUGUGGAGUAUCGGAUGUCUCAUAUUUAUCUCUAAAUAGUAACAAUUGCAUAAAUAAAAGAUAGAGUAAAAAUAAAAAAAAAUUCUAUUUCAAAUUACGUAACUAAGUUACAAAUAAUAGUACUUGAAUAUAACUUGAUCAAUCAUUCUGACUUGAGUGUCAAGAGAAGGUUCUAAUCUUUUAAUUAGUGAUCUUGUACCUUUUAAUGUUUCUAUUAGUACAUUAUCAGAAUGCUCCACCCCAAAUUGAAAUUGAGGAUUGAGAAAAUAACCUAAGCAUAAUUUAUAAGAAUAUCAUCAAAUAAUAAUAAUCUAAAGCUUAAAAUAAUAAAAUAUAAAAAUAGUUCUUAAUUAUAUAAAACAUUUUAUCUUACCAGCUAAAUGGAAGUCGGAAUGCAUAAAAUUCCAUCUAUUGUCAAUAAUCUUUUUGUACUCGGUGAAAUAUUAACAAUCUUGUUGAAUUGCUCAUUUAGCUCUAUGAACAGCCUUAUAAAUAAAGCACAUUGUUGGUUUUUCAUCACCAUCCAGAAGUCUCAAUACUUUUACUAGGGGCUCGUAAACUUUUAUGAGGUCGUUGGCUUUUUUUUCCAAAAAUCUUUUCCCAAAACAAUUUUUUUGGUUUUAAAAGCAGACCUUGACUUUUGCUGUCCUUAUUUUGAUCAUUUAAAUUCCUAUAUAUUCACAAGAAAAAUUUUAAAAUAAUAUAAUUUAAAUUAUUUGGAACUAAUAAAACCAUUAAAGGUUGUUAUAUUUAAGUAAUUAUAUUAACUAAUUAUAAAAUAUUGACCUUUGAAUUAAACAUUUGUAACGCCCCAAAAAUCUCUUAUAUUUAUUUUUGUGUGUUUGUGACACAAAUAUAUGUUUGUUUUAGUGGUUAAGUACUCUAGAGAGUGUUUGAAAGGUCCCAAGUUCAAGCCUUAGCUUGGGAAAAUUUUUGUUUUUAAAUGAAUAAACCCCUAUCUCUAAUCAGUAGGCUUAUAAAUAAAUUUUGGUGAAAUAUGUUAGAAUGGGCUUGCUAGUUUGGUGGCUAAGUGGAGUGCAAAUGGGCAGGAGGUUUGGAGUUUGAGUCUUUGUGCAAAUAAAGGACUUAUUUUGCUGCUAGUGCUGUGUAAGUGUUUUGGUUUAGCCGAAACACUAAAGUGUUUGAGUGGUUUUCAAAUUCGGUUGUUGAGAAAAGUGGUGGCCGGUUUUUAGGAGGAGAUUAUGAGAUUUUAUUUUUAUUUUCUUGUUAUCUUUUUUUCAAAUUUCAGCUUCUCAUACUUUUCCCAAAUUUCGGCCUUUCUACUCUCUUUUUUGACAUUUUGAAUCCAUUUUCUCUGCUGUUCUUUUUCUACUUCACUGCUGCUGAUUUGCUCUUCUGGUUUUUCUUUUCUUCUCCUUUUAUUUGUUGUCGACUGCUUGCUGAAAAACUUCUUUCUUCUACUGCUUUGGCCUAUUUAUUAAUCUAGUCUUUCUCUAAACUCUUUUACGUGUCGUAACUUGUUUUCUCUGUUGUGCUUUUGUGCGUUUGGUAAGUAGUGUUUUUGCCUUUUGUUAAUUAAUUCUUGGUUAGUGACUAAGGAGAUUGUUGUUACGUAUGGCAGGCGAAAGGCAGUGAACGGUUUGUGUUGCUGCUGAGGUUGGAGAGUUAAGGACAAAGCUGUCGUUGGUAAGUGGAUCAUGCUUAUUGAACCACCAUCGGUAUUGGGGUCUUGAUUAAAUUAUUAUUUUACGACUAAUAAGGGUUUUUAAUAUUUGAUUUUUAAGUUGGUAAUUGGAGAAUCUUUGUUAAUUGUGAUGACAGCCAAAAGUCUGGAGUGAAGGGCUGUGCUGGUGCCAAAUUAUAGAGGGAAACUUCCGGUAUUCGUAAGGUAAGAGUUCGGUUAAGGUGUUAGAAGUAUGAUUUUCGAUUUCAGUUAAUUGGUUGUUGAUUGAGGUGUAUAAUACAGUGUUAUACUGGUCAAUUGAUAGGUCUUGGGUGUUCAGGAGUGCUUUUGCAAAGAAUCGAAAUCAGGUGUGUAAACACAACUUUGGAAACAAAAACCGGUGAAAAGCUGAAAAGAAGUGAUUGUCGAUGCCACACCGGGAUGCUGUCACCCAAGUGGUAGGUCGUGUGAUCGAACAUAGGUGUGUGAUCGACGAGGCUGGCUGUGAGCGAUUCAUGGGCCGGAUCGAACUGGGCCAUGUGGGAUUAUUGGGCCAGGCCGUGUGAUCCACAUGGCCAAGGCCAUUUUUGGUUGUGUGGGGCCACACGUUUGGCAUGCAAUAUGGGCCUGUGGGCCCAUUUUUACUAUUUGACUGCUAAGGUUGCACGGGUCACCCAAGUCGACUGUGAACCUACUAUAGGGACAGUAAGGUUACCUAGACCCCCUAAUUGACUGAAAUGAUUGAAAGACUGUUGUAUGCCAUAUGAGAUAGAUAUGAAUGCCUGUAUGUUAAGCAUGAUGUAUAUACUAUUCUGAUUAUGCAUGAUACCAUGGCAUGAUUAUAUGAUGCAUUGCAUUGGGUUGGGGAUUGAUAUUGAUUAGAGGAAGUGUACUGAAAGGCUUUUAGCUUAACUUACUGGCAGCUCAGCUGCAACUACUGUCUAAUGCCGCAUUCGGUACUACUUACAGUGUAGGGUUGGGUGGGUUGAUUAUAUCCCCACAUGGAGUAUAGGGUUGGACGGAGAUAGAGUGUAGAGGCUGGUUGGGUAGGAUUUUAUAUAUGCAUAACUGUCAUUGUUACUGUACUAUGAUGGGCCAAGGCCCUAAUCCUUAUUGAUAUUGAAAUGGGCUUAGGCCAAAACUAAGAUUAUCCGUUAUUGUCAGUUUGUUUGCAUGGGGAAUUACAUACUGAGUUUACGUAAACUCACCCCUUCUAUUUAAUCUGUACAGGUAAUCCCCAGACAUAGGUGGUUUGGUGUGACGGAGGACUCAGCGGUGGCCACACAACCUAUUUUAUUCAACUUAGUACCUAAUAAUAAUUUUGCUUUUAUUUUGGGGGUGUUUUACUGUAGUAAUGGCCUCUUUGGAUUUUUACUUUUAAAUUGGGGUUUUUAUUUUUUUUGGACGUACAACUGUUAGUAGUAGGGAUAAUCAAGUUUUUAAAACCAAUCAAAGGUUUUAACAAAAUACGUACAAAUAUGCAAAUUGUUUUAAAAAGCUACCGCAACGUACAAUAUUUUGCAAACUAACGACAAAAUAGAAAAUCCCUAUUUAGGAUUAAUAAAAGACAACGACGAGAUCUAAACCAAAAAUGUUUUAAGCAAAGUUACAGUUAUUUUAACAUGAGCAUCAGUUUUCAAACACACUAUCAUGUGACAUCUUCAGAUUCGACCAUAACGUCUAGGCCAGGUUUUGGGUGUUUCAACAUUUCUCUCAGACCUUGCUUUUGCCUUGUUAUCUCUUGAAGUUGAAUGAAAUAAGUUGCAAAUAGAGUAAGAGCGGGUCGAAGUAUUUUCUUCCCUUGUGUAUACUUCUUCAUCAAAUAAACAAUCCAAAUGUGAUUGUAUAUAAAGCAAGGCACUUUCGUUGCCUCAUUUAAUACUUUUGCUACACUGGGCUUUUUCCCAAUAUCUUCAAGGCAUAAAUCUAAGCAGUGAGCUGCACAUGAGGUCCAAUAUAGAUUCUUUCUUUUCAACACUAAUUUUUUUCGAACGGCUUACAUUGCUGCCUCAUAAUCAGUCACUAUUUGGACAAUGUAACUUUCUCCA
RNAcentral lists this long non-coding RNA (6923 nucleotides) under Gossypium barbadense (sea-island cotton). RNAcentral describes it as "long non-coding RNA (GBAR_LNC022457)". Lineage: Eukaryota; Viridiplantae; Streptophyta; Magnoliopsida; Malvales; Malvaceae. The record is from RNAcentral.